UUAACUUUAUUUAUAAUAUUACUCAGACAACACAAAAAUCAAGAGUUUGGGGUCCUCUGGCAGGCGCGGACCAGCCUAAGCCGGUGGUCAACAGACGGGCCUGCCAAAGCAACAUAGGUAAUGUAAACAAAGGGUGGGAGAUCUACCCCAAAGGGCAAUUUCUCUGUAAUGAUCCUUCCGCAGGUUCAUCUACGGAAA
Molecule: unclassified non-coding RNA, 198 nt
Filed under: uncultured fungus
Lineage: Eukaryota; Fungi
Description: sequence contains ITS1, 5.8S rRNA gene
Source: RNAcentral